Molecule: ribosomal RNA, 416 nt
Filed under: uncultured bacterium
Lineage: Bacteria
Description: bacterial SSU rRNA
Rfam family: Bacterial small subunit ribosomal RNA
Source: RNAcentral
CUUAAAUGUAGAUUGCAUGACUCAGAGAUGGGCUUUCCUUCGGGACUAUCUACAAGGUGCUGCAUGGUUGUCGUCAGCUCGUGCCGUGAGGUGUCGGGUUAAGUCCCAUAACGAGCGCAACCCCUAUCGUUAGUUACCAUCAGGUUAUGCUGGGGACUCUAGCGAGACUGCCACCGUAAGGUGAGAGGAAGGUGGGGAUGACGUCAAAUCAGCACGGCCCUUAUGUCCGGGGCUACACACGUGUUACAAUGGUAGGGACAGCGAGCAGCUUAGUGGCGACACUUGGCGAAUCUUAAAACCCUAUCUCAGUUCGGAUUGGAGUCUGCAACUCGACUCCAUGAAGUUGGAAUCGCUAGUAAUCGCGUAUCAGCAACGACGCGGUGAAUACGUUCCCGGGCCUCGUACACACCGCCCGU